Molecule: ribosomal RNA, 497 nt
Filed under: uncultured bacterium
Lineage: Bacteria
Description: partial 16S ribosomal RNA
Rfam family: Bacterial small subunit ribosomal RNA
Source: RNAcentral
GAUGAACGCUGGCGGCGUGCCUAAUACAUGCAAGUCGAGUGAACAGAUGAGGAGCUUGCUCCUCUGACGUUAGCGGCGGACGGGUGAGUAACACGUGGAUAACCUACCUAUAAGACUGGGAUAACUUCGGGAAACCGGAGCUAAUACCGGAUAAUAUAUUGAACCGCAUGGUUCAAUAGUGAAAGACGGUUUUGCUGUCACUUAUAGAUGGAUCCGCGCCGCAUUAGCUAGUUGGUAAGGUAACGGCUUACUAAGGCAACGAUGCGUAGCCGACCUGAGAGGGUGAUCGGCCACACUGGAACUGAGACACGGUCCAGACUCCUACGGGAGGCAGCAGUAGGGAAUCUUCCGCAAUGGGCGAAAGCCUGACGGAGCAACGCCGCGUGAGUGAUGAAGGUCUUCGGAUCGUAAAACUCUGUUAUUAGGGAAGAACAAAUGUGUAAGUAACUAUGCACGUCUUGACGGUACCUAAUCAGAAAGCCACGGCUAACUACGUG